UGCGACCGAGUUGCUCCCCAGCGCUGCACUGAUGGGCCCUGGAAAGCAGGUGACUCCUGUCUCUCGCACCACCUGUGCCGUGUUUGGGUGAAAGAGGCAUGAGCCCCGGGAGCCCGCGUGUUAAGCUCCUGCUCUUCCUCCCGCUCUUGGCUUUCCCUGGAGCCAUUAUUCUCCUGCCACAGCUGCGUGAGGAGGAGGUGGGCCACAGCCUGCUUUCUCUCACUGCGCACCAUGAAAGCUCAGCUUUUGCAUUAGUUUUUGUGCGUGAUAGAGACAUAGAGCAACCAGGACUGCCAGCGAUCAGAUCUCUGUGAACAUUCUAGAAGAUCCGAGUGGGGCGCAACCCCAGUGCCCAGCCGGGAAAGCCCUGGUGCGGAUGAAGAUGGGGAAGACCCAGGCAGCCGCGGGGUUUCCGGGGAUGUCUCCCACCUAGGCUGAUUCAACCCAGGCCUCCUGCCCACCAUGCUGCCCUCCCUACCCACUCAGGUUCUCAAGGACAUCAAGGCGGCCACACCACAAUGGAAGACACGCACAGAAAAAGACUUCAGAACUUCCUCAGGUGGUGACAAGAACGAUGGGAGGAGUGUGCUCAAACUCUAGAGUACAGAAACUGUUGCGUUGCCUGUGUAAAGAGCUUUCCCACUCUUCCUCCGUAAAAGCCGAAGGAUGCCUCUGUGAUGCCGUCCUGCGCCAGCCUGCUCCCUGGCCCUGGCCGCUGGACAGGAGCACAGAGCAGGGAAGGGCCCCAGGCCCACGCAGCCCUCGCCCCACGGCCAUCAAAGCCCUUGCUUUGUCAAGGCUCCUGUAAUUUGCUCUCCUUCGUCCCACUUUGUUCUGGGCCGGAGAAGCCCCAGGCGGCCGCUGCAGGCCUGGUCCUGCCCCUGCGGCCCUCUCCUUCCUGCCUUGGCAGGGGACGCAGGGUGCCACCUUCCCACGCCACCAUCUCUGCAG
Molecule: long non-coding RNA, 951 nt
Organism: Fukomys damarensis (Damara mole-rat)
Lineage: Eukaryota; Metazoa; Chordata; Mammalia; Rodentia; Bathyergidae
Exons: 3
Source: RefSeq, a predicted model, not a curated record